This 468-nucleotide ribosomal RNA is filed under the name uncultured bacterium. Its description in RNAcentral is "partial 16S ribosomal RNA". It matches the Rfam family "Bacterial small subunit ribosomal RNA", at positions 28 to 507 of the family's 1533-position model. The record is from RNAcentral.
GACGAACGCUGGCGGCGUGCUUAACACAUGCAAGUCGAACGGUGAAGCUCCAGCUUGCUGGAGUGGAUCAGUGGCGAACGGGUGAGUAACACGUGAGCAACCUGCCCCUGACUCUGGAAUAAGCGCUGGAAACGGCGUCUAAUACUGGAUACGAGAAGGGUCCGCAUGGGCACUUUCUGGAAAGUUUUUCGGUUGGGGAUGGGCUCGCGGCCUAUCAGCUUGUUGGUGAGGUAAUGGCUCACCAAGGCGACGACGGGUAGCCGGCCUGAGAGGGCGACCGGCCACACUGGGACGGAGACACGGCCCAGACUCCUACGGGAGGCAGCAGUGGGGAAUAUUGCACAAUGGGCGAAAGCCUGAUGCAGCGACGCCGCGUGAGGGAUGACGGCCUUCGGGUUGUAAACCUCUUUCAGCAGGGAAGAAGCGAAAGUGACGGUACCUGCAGAAGAAGCACCGGCUAACUACGUG